GACGAACCGUCCUAACGUUGUUCGGAAUCACUGGGCUUAAAGGGCGCGUAGGCGGGUCAGCAAGUCCGGGGUGAAAUCUUUCGGCUUAACCGGAAAAGUGCCUUGGAUACUGCUGGUCUAGAGGGAGGUAGGGGCAUGUGGAACUUCCGGUGGAGCGGUGAAAUGCGUUGAUAUCGGAAGGAACGCCGGUGGCGAAAGCGACGUGCUGGAUCUCUUCUGACGCUGAGGCGCGAAAGCCAGGGGAGCAAACGGG
RNAcentral lists this ribosomal RNA (253 nucleotides) under uncultured bacterium. RNAcentral's name for it is "partial 16S ribosomal RNA". It matches the Rfam family "Bacterial small subunit ribosomal RNA", at positions 524 to 776 of the family's 1533-position model. RNAcentral also lists the same sequence under 1 other name. The record is from RNAcentral.